This is a non-coding RNA of Schistosoma rodhaini, 48 nucleotides long. The record is from Rfam. NCBI's taxonomy places the organism in Eukaryota, Metazoa, Platyhelminthes, Trematoda, Strigeidida, Schistosomatidae.
AUCCAGCUGACGAGUCCCAAAUAGGACAAAACACAUGUCCAAUUGGAU